RNAcentral lists this ribosomal RNA (1540 nucleotides) under Klebsiella pneumoniae. RNAcentral's name for it is "bacterial SSU rRNA". It matches the Rfam family "Bacterial small subunit ribosomal RNA". Lineage: Bacteria; Pseudomonadati; Pseudomonadota; Gammaproteobacteria; Enterobacterales; Enterobacteriaceae. The record is from RNAcentral. RNAcentral also lists the same sequence under 1 other name.
AAAUUGAAGAGUUUGAUCAUGGCUCAGAUUGAACGCUGGCGGCAGGCCUAACACAUGCAAGUCGAGCGGUAGCACAGAGAGCUUGCUCUCGGGUGACGAGCGGCGGACGGGUGAGUAAUGUCUGGGAAACUGCCUGAUGGAGGGGGAUAACUACUGGAAACGGUAGCUAAUACCGCAUAAUGUCGCAAGACCAAAGUGGGGGACCUUCGGGCCUCAUGCCAUCAGAUGUGCCCAGAUGGGAUUAGCUAGUAGGUGGGGUAACGGCUCACCUAGGCGACGAUCCCUAGCUGGUCUGAGAGGAUGACCAGCCACACUGGAACUGAGACACGGUCCAGACUCCUACGGGAGGCAGCAGUGGGGAAUAUUGCACAAUGGGCGCAAGCCUGAUGCAGCCAUGCCGCGUGUGUGAAGAAGGCCUUCGGGUUGUAAAGCACUUUCAGCGGGGAGGAAGGCGGUGAGGUUAAUAACCUCAUCGAUUGACGUUACCCGCAGAAGAAGCACCGGCUAACUCCGUGCCAGCAGCCGCGGUAAUACGGAGGGUGCAAGCGUUAAUCGGAAUUACUGGGCGUAAAGCGCACGCAGGCGGUCUGUCAAGUCGGAUGUGAAAUCCCCGGGCUUAACCUGGGAACUGCAUUCGAAACUGGCAGGCUAGAGUCUUGUAGAGGGGGGUAGAAUUCCAGGUGUAGCGGUGAAAUGCGUAGAGAUCUGGAGGAAUACCGGUGGCGAAGGCGGCCCCCUGGACAAAGACUGACGCUCAGGUGCGAAAGCGUGGGGAGCAAACAGGAUUAGAUACCCUGGUAGUCCACGCCGUAAACGAUGUCGAUUUGGAGGUUGUGCCCUUGAGGCGUGGCUUCCGGAGCUAACGCGUUAAAUCGACCGCCUGGGGAGUACGGCCGCAAGGUUAAAACUCAAAUGAAUUGACGGGGGCCCGCACAAGCGGUGGAGCAUGUGGUUUAAUUCGAUGCAACGCGAAGAACCUUACCUGGUCUUGACAUCCACAGAACUUUCCAGAGAUGGAUUGGUGCCUUCGGGAACUGUGAGACAGGUGCUGCAUGGCUGUCGUCAGCUCGUGUUGUGAAAUGUUGGGUUAAGUCCCGCAACGAGCGCAACCCUUAUCCUUUGUUGCCAGCGGUUCGGCCGGGAACUCAAAGGAGACUGCCAGUGAUAAACUGGAGGAAGGUGGGGAUGACGUCAAGUCAUCAUGGCCCUUACGACCAGGGCUACACACGUGCUACAAUGGCAUAUACAAAGAGAAGCGACCUCGCGAGAGCAAGCGGACCUCAUAAAGUAUGUCGUAGUCCGGAUUGGAGUCUGCAACUCGACUCCAUGAAGUCGGAAUCGCUAGUAAUCGUAGAUCAGAAUGCUACGGUGAAUACGUUCCCGGGCCUUGUACACACCGCCCGUCACACCAUGGGAGUGGGUUGCAAAAGAAGUAGGUAGCUUAACCUUCGGGAGGGCGCUUACCACUUUGUGAUUCAUGACUGGGGUGAAGUCGUAACAAGGUAACCGUAGGGGAACCUGCGGUUGGAUCACCUCCUUA